CCGGGCCCGGCCCCGCCGCUUCUCCGCGGGGCUCCGGCGGCGCCUUCCUGGCCCCCUUCCCCCUUCCUGCCCCCCGCGCCCCUUCCCUCAGCCCCACGUCCCCCCCGACCGCCGCUCCGAGCCAGGGCGCUGGGGGGAAGAAGGGGGGAUUCCGUUGUCACGAGGGGCGGGCUGCCGGCCCUGUCCUCAGCUGAUCCUCACGCAGGGUGAGCUCCCGGCUCGCCCCGCUGCUUCCCCCCCACCCCGGCUUUCCGCGUCGUGCCGCCCCUCUGCCGUCCGCGGACGCGGUCCCGGCGCCCCCCAGCCCGCCGCUGCCAGCGGAAGGACGUGGGGGCGCGGCGGGGCGAGACCGGGAGCGGCUUAGCCGCGGGGCUUCCAGAAGGCUUUAUAGUACCUCAGCAGUAAGAGGAGCUCGUUCCUGUUCACCAUCGUUAUUCCAGUCAAGGCAAAGGCAGUUUUUGAACCCCGCGAUGUCCAUCUCUGGGUGGUUCAGUUCCAAUUUGGUUCAUUUCAUGUGGCAACCCUAUCAGAUGGGAGAAGUCAAGCAUUUCUGAAUCACACCAGAAUUGUAAUGGGAGAGACACCAAAUAGAACUCUGAAGCAUGCAGAAAACAAGGAUGAAGAUUCAGCAGUAGCCUGCUUCCUUUCCAGUUGGUCCCACAGCACUGCCCUUCUUGGCUGCUUCCUCCACGAUACGUGGGCAGGAUCCUAAAGAAGGAGAUGAUCCCUUUUUUUUUUCCCCAAGUGAACUGUAACUUUACUGAUUCAGGGAAAUCACAUUGGAAUUACGCUGGGGAUGAUGUAUCCUAGAUGGUUGGGUUUUCAGAUACGUAGAGGAAUGCUCAGUGAGUCAGCCCUGCAGUUUUUGGUGGAGUAGGUCUAUUCCGGUGUGUGGGUGUUCACAGAACAAUUACGUAAGUGCCAGGGUAGCAAGGAACUUUUGACAUAUCUGGCAGCUUAACUGAGUUCUUUUCAGUCAAAAAUAUUCUAAUAGUUGUUCUCUUGCAUUAAACACACAUCAUUGCCUUAGAUGGAUUUGGAGGGGUUGGGGCAUUUUUUGAAGCGUCACUUGUCAGGGCAAGAUAUUGGAGCAGUUUUAAUCUUGAGAAAACAGGAGAUUUUUCACAGUUACAGUGAGACGAACAUUUGUGAGAACCGUUUUAAAUCAUAUAAGAGGGUGCGAAAGUUGCCAUGCCAUAUGCCUGGAAUUUACUAUGUUAGAGCUAAUUGCUGCCAUCGAAUGUAAGGGCCCGUCAGCUUUUUCAUCAUCACACCCACCUCAACACCUUUUUUUUACAUUUUAUUUUAAGGGUUUGGUGGAGUUGGUUUUUUUUUUUUACUUUUUUGCCUACAUAAUUUUUGGGCUGCAGAAUGAUAGUGCAACCCCCCUGCUAAAUCCAGUCAUGCCUUACAUCCCAUAUUCAAGGUGAAUAGGUUAGGCGCCCCACUGACAUACAGUGGAUUCAAUUCCAAGGCAACUGCUCUUCUGCGUGUAUUACGCAGGGAAAUAAGGAAAACUGGUUUGUCUCCCAAGAGCAAGAUACCUAAAUUAGUCAGGCUAAAUCAGUGUCCAAGUGACAUUUUCAGGCAAGAUUUCUCUCUAAAGAUCAAGUAGGAAAGAAACAAAAUCAGAUAACUGUAUUCUUUUUUGUUUGAUCCAAGCUGUGCCUUUACAACCAAAAUCCUCCCAUCAAACUAACCAAUGGAUUUUUUAUUUUUAUUUUUUUUUCUUGGUUAAGUAUUAAAUCUUUCAAGUGAUCAUGA
This is a long non-coding RNA of Coturnix japonica (Japanese quail), 1764 nucleotides long. RefSeq lists it as uncharacterized. NCBI's taxonomy places the organism in Eukaryota, Metazoa, Chordata, Aves, Galliformes, Phasianidae. The record is from RefSeq and is a predicted model, not a curated record.